RNAcentral lists this ribosomal RNA (297 nucleotides) under uncultured bacterium. Its description in RNAcentral is "partial 16S ribosomal RNA". It matches the Rfam family "Bacterial small subunit ribosomal RNA", at positions 213 to 507 of the family's 1533-position model. The record is from RNAcentral.
CGGCGCUUCUUGAUGGGUGUGCGGCUGAUUUAGAUAGUUUGGCGGGGUAAGGCCCACAAGUCUACGAUCAGUAGCUGAUGUGAGAGCAUGAUCAGCCACACGGGCACUGAGACACGGGCCCGACUCCUACGGGAGGCAGCAGUAAGGAAUAUUGGUCAAUGGACGCAAGUCUGAACCAGCCAUGCCGCGUGAAGGAUUAAGGUCCUCUGGAUUGUAAACUUCUUUUAUCUGGGACGAAAAAAGGCGAUUCUUCGUCACUUGACGGUACCAGAUGAAUAAGCACCGGCUAACUCCGUG